ACUGCUCAGUAACACGUGGACAACCUGCCCUUAGGUUGGGUAUAAACCCGGGAAACUGGGUAUAAUACCCGAUAGGUCUCGAUUGCUGGAAUGCAUCGAGAUUUAAAGCUCCGGCGCCUAAGGAUGGGUCUGCGGCCUAUCAGGUAGUAGUGGGUGUAGCGUACCUACUAGCCUACGACGGGUACGGGUUGUGAGAGCAAGAGCCCGGAGAUGGAUUCUGAGACACGAAUCCAGGCCCUACGGGGUGCAGCAGGCGCGAAAACUUUACAAUGCUGGCAACAGCGAUAAGGGAACCUCGAGUGCCAGGUUACAAAUCUGGCUGUCGAGAUGCCUAAAAAGCAUUUCAUAGCAAGGGCCGGGCAAGACCGGUGCCAGCCGCCGCGGUAACACCGGCGGCUCGAGUGGUAACCGUUAUUAUUGGGUCUAAAGGGUCUGUAGCCGGCCGGAUAAGUCUCUUGAGAAAUCUGGCAGCUUAACUGUCAGGCUUUCAGGAGAUACUGUCUGGCUCGAGGCCGGGAGAGGUGAGAGGUACUUCAGGGGUAGGGGUGAAAUCUUGUAAUCCUUGAAGGACCACCAGUGGCGAAGGCGUCUCACCAGAACGGACCUGACGGCAAGGGACGAAAGCUAGGGGCACGAACCGGAUUAGAUACCCGGGUAGUCCUAGCCGUAAACGAUACUCGCUAGGUGUCGGCCACGGUGCGACCGUUGUCGGUGCCGUAGGGAAGCCGUGAAGCGAGCCACCUGGGAAGUACGGCCGCAAGGCUGAAACUUAAAGGAAUUGGCGGGGGAGCACCACAACGGGUGGAGCUUGCGGUUUAAUUGGAUUCAACGCCGGAAAUCUUACCGGGACCGACAGCAAUAUGAAGGCCAGGCUGAAGACUUUGCCGGAUUAGCUGAGAGGUGGUGCAUGGCCGUCGUCAGUUCGUACUGUGAAGCAUCCUGCUAAGUCAGGCAACGAGCGAGACCCCCACC
This 972-nucleotide ribosomal RNA is filed under the name uncultured archaeon. RNAcentral's name for it is "bacterial SSU rRNA". It matches the Rfam family "Archaeal small subunit ribosomal RNA", at positions 85 to 1058 of the family's 1478-position model. The record is from RNAcentral.